Molecule: long non-coding RNA, 1651 nt
Organism: Gallus gallus (chicken)
Lineage: Eukaryota; Metazoa; Chordata; Aves; Galliformes; Phasianidae
Source: Ensembl
AGGUUUUCUACUGGUAAGCAGGUUCUUUCCUUUGUCUCUGUAUUUGUGUUGCAUUUGAGCAUAUACUUACUUGAUGUAGCCUAGGGCUUUAGUACUCUGUUGUUACUACUGUGCUUUCUAUGAUGUUACAGUGUUGCAUGUAUUCAAACGAAGUGUAACACUUCUUAGGUUGUAACAAGAUGUUAUGUUGCAAAGCAUUUGUGUGGGUUCUUUGUUCUAAUUACGUUAUUGGAACAAAAUAAUUGCUUUUCAGUUUGGAGUUUUCAGAAAACAUUUAACAUGUGGAUGGCCCACAGCUCUAUUUUCUUGAAGUAGCAGUGGUGUUCAGAAGUGAUCAAAUGCUGUGCCUCCUGCUGGGUGGUGAGCCAUUGGCUAGUGUUCAGGCUCAACACAGUCACAGCCUUGAAGAUAGGCAGAAGUUAGCAGAGUCCUGAAGAACUUACAGCUUUCAGACUAAGAAUGCAAGACCCUGUGAAUAAUUUGAAGGUAUUGCCCGGACCGGUUUCACUAUGGUGGUGUUUAUCUGUUUCUCUGAGAACUCAUUUCCUCAAGCAUGACUUACUCUCCAGUGUCUCUAUGCUCUUAUGUAAAUAAACAUGUUCAUGCUUUUGCCACAGCAAACAUUAAACGUGGUGGGGAUGACACACUCAGGAUACAUCUGUAUACCUGGAUAAGCUUGUGAUUACUGCUUGUAUAAGCAGAAAUCAUGAAACAUGUAUUUUCAACUAGCACAAGUGAUAUUAGCAGCAAUGCUAGCUCUAGCUUGCUGCAGAAACCAAAAUGUUUUCCUGAAUCCCAUGAAGAAUUCACUUCAUGAUCUUGCUUUUGCACAAAAUAAAGCCAAUGGUGUUGUACCUUCUGUUAUUCUUUAUUCAUAUGUUAUGUAUGAAUCAAUCACUUACUGAUUUUACUGCAUAGGUACAAUCACAGUUCGUCUAAGUGAAACAAAAAUACAGUCUGAGCUUUAAUUUCAGCUGCAAGUGAGCAAACCAUCUUUGCACCACCAUUUUCACUUGCAGAUAGUAACAUCAUGGCUGUCUUGAAAGUGUUUGAAUUCCUCCAGAUGAUUCAUAGCUCAUAUGAAAUCCAAGUGAAAUCAGACCAUGCUCUGGCCUGUGUUCUGUCUCUGGGUCUAUUUUGUUAUUUGUUUGUUCUGCCUGUUUGCAGGUGGGGGAUGAUUCAAAGCUUCUAACAAAAAGGCUAGAUGAGCAACUCUCUAAUUUCAGGAUGAAUCAUCCUUUCCUCUAGCUGUAAAACAUCUUAAGAUAGAUUCAUUUGUGGGGUUUUUGUUUGCAAAAUUGGGAAUAUACUACAUAAUUGUUGUUAAUCAGAGAUGGUUAAAUGGUGCAUUUACAAAAUUUAAGUGCUAAUACAUAAAGGAAGGGUUUAUUUCUCUAAGAAUUUUAUCACACAAUUUUAACAAUGACUGUGACUUCAGUGAAUGGUUCAUUGGCCUUCUCUAGUAAAAUCACUCUAAGUCACAGCUUUUCUUUACCUGACAUAAGAAUACUAGUUUAGAUUUGUGAGAAUAAGGAGAAAGAUGGUUACUGUUCAUAUUUCUCUUAAAGAUAUGAAUAACCUUAAUAAAAAUCAAUGUCUAGCCACUUAUGCUGAUGGAUGUUAUAUUCAAAAUUUCACAGAGAAACUAUCC